AGAUCUGGCUGAAGCAGAUCUAAGAUGAUUUAGCAUCCUUGUGCUUACAAGGAGCAAAUUGAAGACAUAGCUUAUUUGGCUUUUACGUGUUUACAAUGAAGCAAAUCUAAGAUGAUUUGGCAUCUCUGUAUUGUCAGAGUGUAGCACGCCAAAACCGGCCCAGAAGUUAUGGCCGGAUCCGGCAUGCCACAUCAAAAAUGUUAAAAAAAAUAUUCCAUUCUAAGUCCAGAAAAUCUUACUUGAUGUUCAAAAGAUUAAUUCAUUAAGUAUUAAAGUGAAUGGAAGCUGUGCACCAGGUAGGAAACCGGAAAAGAGGUGGUGAGUCCAUCGGACUGCUUAAGCACCAAGCUCCCUUCGGAUCCAAUCCUAGACAUGCAUACCGCCAUUGCCAGACCUUAACGUCAUGGAUAUUUCUAGGAAACCGAUUAGAUUAAGUCAUUUUUAGGAAAAGUGAUUAAUUUUGGAAAAUACUUUCAUUGCAGAAGCUUUGCUUGUUGUCGUGUUAUUUUGAAAUCAACUGUUGUUUUUGAAAACGCGCCCUAAAGCUAUCCAAUUUCAACAGUUAAAAUAAGUAUUACCUAAUACAUAUUAAAACCAUCAAAAAUAAUUAAGCGGCCUUAUUACAUUUAAAAACCCAAAACUUCAAACGUAAAUAAAGGGAUGUCCAGUUCACCAGAAGAAAAUCAAACUUUCAAAACGGGUGGCCACUCCGAAUUCCCUCACAGCUCCAAGCCCACUAUGGUUGGGGAUUUCCUGCGUGGAUGAAAAUAAAAGGGGUGAGUUUGGGGAAACUCAGUGUGUAAGGAAAACCUAUUCAAAGCCCAAGUCAGCUCAAGCCUAUUGGGCCUAAGCCCAUUCAGGUAACAGUGGUACUGGGCCAGAGCCCUUUUCAGAUUACAAUAAACUGGGCCUUAGCCCCUUAUUCAUAUAACAGUAUAGCCCAUAGGCCCAUUUCAAAAUACAUGCAACAUCAGUAAAUAUAUGCAAGCCCAUUUGGGGAGACUACUCAACCCACCAACCACUACACUCCACCCGUACCAGCCAUACACUCCAUGUGGGGAUAGCUCAACCCACCCAGCCCAACACUCCACAGUUGUAGCCUUGCUGCUCAGUUAACAGUAAAUUGAGGCAAAGCCUCCAGUACGUGGACAAGCCACUUUCAGUACUUCCUCCGUCAAUAUCCCAAUCCCAUGCAUCAGAUAAUAACAACAUGCCAUGCAGUAAAUAACAACAGUCAAACAUGCAUUUAGGUCAAUUUAACCCUAGGGGUAUUUCGAUAAUUUAUCUCCUAGGGAUAAAAUUGUAAAUUUUCCACUUUUAAAGGUAUUUCAGUAAUUUAUCUAUUUUAGGGUUUUUCAUGCAUAUUCCUACUUUUCACGUACUAACAGAAUCACGUACCGAGAGUUCUUACCGAAUUGGGCCUGUUGGCCCAUCAUUUCAAUUUUGGCCCAUUAAGCCCAAAAAUAUCGAGGGCUCAGAAAUCAUGCACUUUGCAGUCCAAAUUUUACAGCUUACCAAAAACAUUAAUCGAUUUACCUCACGAGCAUUCACACACUCGCAAAUUUACAAAAUACCAGUUUUCGGCAUUUCAGCUUUUCGACUUUUGCCGAUCCAGACUAAGAAAGAGGGUGUUAGUUACAUACCUGUUUGCGACGAUAUGCUGACGAGAUCCACACACGAACUGCCUACAAUUGGAUUACUAACACAUUAAUCUAACUGUUCAAAUACGAACUACCCAUUAACCCCUUACAAUAUUCGGCCAACCACACCUACAAAUCAUAGUAAGCUUAUAAGAAAACAAUAAGCAACUCAUUAACAAAUUUUUGGCAAUGUUUACCACAUAAUCAUAAUUUCACUGCAAGCUGUCUUCCUGAGCAACAGUCACUAAAUUAUUUAUAACUGGAGCUACGAAACUCCAAAUCAAGUUCCGUUAAUUUUCCUUGAAAAUAGACUCAUAUAUAUUCUAUCCAUAAAAUUUUCAGAAUUUUUGGUUUAUCCAAUCAAUACCAGAUUUUUCUUAACGUUUCCCAUGUUUCACUGUUUGACUAAUCUGACCACUCUUCAUUACAAAUCAAAUUUCUCAUUGUACAGAAUUCAAAAUAUGUUCUAGUUUAUUUCAUUUGAAACUAAACUCAUUAAGCUUUAAUUACAUUAUUUAUUCAGCUUCUAAUUCAUCUCCCACAAUUUAUGGUGAUUUUCCAAAGUCACGUUACUGCUGCUGUCCCAAGCAGAUUUAUUACCAAAUCACUCUUUCAUACACCUAUCUUGCAUGCAUGUUAUUUAAACAUGUAUAUCACCAAUCAAUCAUCACAUAUCUAUGAUUUUUACUUAAGCAUAAUCUCCAUUUCAUCAUUUUAAAGCACAACAUGUUAGCCGAUUUUUCCCUUUAGCAUCUAAGGCACAUACAUGCUCAUUUGUUUGGCUCAACUUCACAUAUCUUCCAUUUUUCAUCAAAAGAACAUGAAACAACAACCAUUUCCUUCAUUUUAAUUCAUGACCAAAUGCUCACAACACAACCAAAAAUCAAAAUAUACUUCAAGAGUUAAGGUAGAAUCAAGAAGAACUCAUGAACCUCAAAAUAAAAGCAAGAUACCAAGAACUUACCUUCAAUUUUCCUCCUCCUAAUGACCGAAUACUCAAGAGCUUUCUCCUCUCCUUUCUCUUCUCUAACUUUCAGCUAUGAUGAACAAAGAUGGACAAAACUUUGUUCUUUUCACCCCUUUUUCUUUUAAUAAAACUUCAUAUUUCAUCCAUUUAAUUCUUUAAUACAAAAGAUAUGAAAUUCUUAUCAUGAAACAUUUACCUAACCGAUUAUCAUGAAACAUUUACCUAACCCAUUAUCAUGGAACAUUUACCUAACCU
This 2862-nucleotide long non-coding RNA is filed under the name Gossypium barbadense (sea-island cotton). Its description in RNAcentral is "long non-coding RNA (GBAR_LNC009727)". The record is from RNAcentral. Lineage: Eukaryota; Viridiplantae; Streptophyta; Magnoliopsida; Malvales; Malvaceae.